Molecule: ribosomal RNA, 500 nt
Filed under: uncultured bacterium
Lineage: Bacteria
Description: partial 16S ribosomal RNA
Rfam family: Bacterial small subunit ribosomal RNA
Source: RNAcentral
AUUGAACGCUGGCGGCAUGCCUUACACAUGCAAGUCGAACGGCAGCACGGGAGCAAUCCUGGUGGCGAGUGGCGAACGGGUGAGUAAAGUAUCGGAACGUGCCCAGUCGUGGGGGAUAACGUAGCGAAAGUUACGCUAAUACCGCAUACGAUCUAUGGAUGAAAGCGGGGGAUCGCAAGACCUCGCGCGAUUGGAGCGGCCGAUAUCAGAUUAGGUAGUUGGUGGGGUAAAGGCUCACCAAGCCGACGAUCUGUAGCUGGUCUGAGAGGACGACCAGCCACACUGGGACUGAGACACGGCCCAGACUCCUACGGGAGUCAGCAGUGGGGAAUUUUGGACAAUGGGCGAAGGCCUGAUCCAGCCAUGCCGCGUGCAGGAUGAAGGCCUUCGGGUUGUAAACUGCUUUUGUACGGAACGAAAAGGUUUGGCCUAAUAAGCUGAGCUCAUGACGGUACCGUAAGAAUAAGCACCGGCUAACUACGUGCCAGCAGCCGCAGUAA